This is a small nucleolar RNA of Carcharodon carcharias (great white shark), 87 nucleotides long. RefSeq annotates it as small nucleolar RNA SNORD103/SNORD85. Lineage: Eukaryota; Metazoa; Chordata; Chondrichthyes; Lamniformes; Lamnidae. The record is from RefSeq and is a predicted model, not a curated record. The transcript has a single exon.
UCUGGCAAUGAUGACACACUUGCCCUCACUGAGAACAGUGUUCGUUAAUGAGAAUUAAAUCUUGUACUCAUAAAGACCCGAGCCAGA